RNAcentral lists this ribosomal RNA (309 nucleotides) under Theramenes exiguus. RNAcentral's name for it is "partial 12S ribosomal RNA". The record is from RNAcentral. Lineage: Eukaryota; Metazoa; Arthropoda; Insecta; Phasmatodea; Heteropterygidae.
AAAGAAUUUGGCGGUGUUUUAUUCUUUUCAGAGGAACUUGCCCCGUUAUCGAUAGUCCCCGUUAUAUCUUACUUGAUUUAUUAGUAUGUAUACCGCCGUUAUAGGUUUAUUUUAUUAGAAUUUAAUUUACUAGUAUUUUUAUUAAAAUUUAUUUCAGGUCAAGGUGCAGCUUAUAAUUAAGUGGAGGUGAGUUACAAUAUUUUAAAUAAACGGAUUAAUUUUUUUAAAUUUUUUAUGAAGGUGGAUUUGUUAGUAAUUUUAUUUAUGUUUUUAUUUUGAUUUUAGCUCUAAAACAAGUACACAUCGCCC